RNAcentral lists this small RNA (449 nucleotides) under Pan troglodytes (chimpanzee). Its description in RNAcentral is "retained intron". Lineage: Eukaryota; Metazoa; Chordata; Mammalia; Primates; Hominidae. The record is from RNAcentral.
UCAGGAUGGAGUUUUGCAAGACUGGGUCAUUGAUGAUUGCAUUGGUAACUGGUGGAGACCAAAUUUUGAACCUCCUCAGGAAAAUGUAAAACAAAUACAAGGCCGGGCGAGGUGGCUCAUGCCUGUAAUCCCAGCACUUUGGGAGGCCGAGGCGGGUGGAUCACCUGUUGAGGUCAGGAGUUUGAGACCAGCCUGGCCAACAUGGUGAAAGCUCGUCUCUACUAAAAAAUGUAAAAAUCAGCUGGGUUUGAUGGUACAAGCCUGUAAUCCCAGCUACUCCAGAGGCUGAGGCAGGAGAAUUGCUUGAACCUGGGAGGCAGAAGUUGCAGUGAACCGAGAUUGUGCCAUUGCACUCCAGCCUGGACAACAGUGAGACUCCUUCUCAAAAAAUAAAUAAAUAAAUAGAACAAAUACAAAAGAAGAGAGAAUCGUAAAAGUGAAUGAAUUGC